UUUCUUUGUGCAGUUAGCACCGAUGGACACCAGGGGCUGCUGGUCAACAUUGGCAUCCUCAUCGCUGUGACCAGAGUCAUCUCACAGAUCAGCGCCGACAACUACAAGAUCCAUGGAGACCCCAGUGCCUUCAAGUUGACGGCCAAGGCAGUGGCCGUGCUGCUGCCCAUCCUGGGUACCUCGUGGGUCUUUGGCGUGCUUGCUGUCAACGGUUGUGCUGUGGUUUUCCAGUACAUGUUCGCCACGCUCAACUCCCUGCAGGGACUGUUCAUAUUCCUCUUUCAUUGUCUCCUGAAUUCAGAGGUGAGAGCCGCCUUCAAGCACAAAACCAAGGUCUGGUCGCUCACGAGCAGCUCCGCCCGCACCUCCAACGCGAAGCCCUUCCACUCGGACCUCAUGAAUGGGACCCGGCCAGGCACGGCCUCCACCAAGCUCAGCCCUUGGGACAAGAGCAGCCACUCUGCCCACCGCGUCGACCUGUCAGCCGUGUGAGCCGGGAGGCUGCCAACCAGGCCAGGCUGCGCUCAGAACACACCCCCCCAAACAGAAUGAAAUGCCCCACCUUUGCCCAUGGACCCUCUCCUUGCUGCUGUCUGGACAUGGGUGUUGUGGCCCCGAGACAGCUGUCCUCCCCUGUGACUCUGGCUGUCGGAGCACACUGCUGAGCCCAGCAGCCUGAUGCCCAGGCCAGCGUGGGCCCUCCUGCCUCGCGUCCACC
Molecule: small RNA, 718 nt
Filed under: Pan troglodytes (chimpanzee)
Lineage: Eukaryota; Metazoa; Chordata; Mammalia; Primates; Hominidae
Description: processed transcript
Source: RNAcentral